GAACCAACAGGGAUUGCCUCAGUAGCGGCGAGUGAAGCGGCAAAAGCUCAAAUUUGAAAUCUGGUACUUUCGGUAUCCGAGUUGUAAUUUGUAGAGGUAACUUUGAACAUGAGUCUUGCAUAAGUUCCUUGGAAAAGGACGUCAUAGAGGGUGAGAAUCCCGUUUAUGGUAGGACCCCCAGUUUGUGUAAAGUGCCUUCGAAGAGUCGAGUUGUUUGGGAAUGCAGCUCUAAGUGGGUGGUAAAUUCCAUCUAAAGCUAAAUAUUUGCGAGAGACCGAUAGCGAACAAGUACAGUGAUGGAAAGAUGAAAAGAACUUUGAAAAGAGAGUGAAAAAGUACGUGAAAUUGUUGAAAGGGAAGGGCUUUAAAUCAGACAUGGUAUUCAGUGAUCAGCUUCCUUUCGGGGUUGUGCACUCGCUGUUUACCGGGCCAACAUCAGUUUAGAGGGUAGGAUAAUAGUAAAAGAACGUAGCUUGUUUACAAGUGUUAUAGCUUUUAUUGAUACUACCACUCUGGACUGAGGACUGCGCAUUUUAUGCUAGGAUGUUGGCGUAAUGGUUUUAAGCCAC
RNAcentral lists this ribosomal RNA (569 nucleotides) under Daia tannicola. RNAcentral describes it as "eukaryotic LSU rRNA". It matches the Rfam family "Eukaryotic large subunit ribosomal RNA", at positions 56 to 648 of the family's 3401-position model. The record is from RNAcentral. Lineage: Eukaryota; Fungi; Ascomycota; Dipodascomycetes; Dipodascales; Trichomonascaceae.